GUUAGGGUUAGGGUUAGGGUUAGGGUUAGGGGUUAGGGUUAGGGUUAGGGGUUAGGGUUAGGGUUAGGGUUAGGGUUAGGUUUAGGGAUAGGGUUAGGGUUAGGGUUAGGUCCCAGGAGGCUCCAGGCGCCCAACCCACAGCAGGGCAGUGGUCUCCCCGAAGGCCUGAGUUGAGGGCACAAGGGACUGUGUCGGUCAGGAUCCGUCUUUGGCUGCCAAGGCCACAGACGUCGAUUGGCCCCUGUUCGAGGAGGCCUCCGGAAUCCUCUCGGCAGCUGCAGCCGGGCCAGGGAAAUGACAUGGUGAGCUUCCAGGUUCCAUGCCGAGUCAGCCUGCACCGCUUCUGGACACCAGGCACCUGGUGUUCUCAGAUGUUGGAAUUGGGUCCCCAUGGGGAGGGAGCCUUAGAUAGGGUUAGGGUUUGGCCCAGGGAUGUCGCCAGAGCUGAAGCGACUCCGGUCUCGGAUAUCCCUAGAGGUCUGAAGUGAGGGCCCAUGCCAGAAGGCAGCACAAUUGCAGGGUUAGGGUUAGAGGCAGGCUUAGGUUGUGGUGGAGGGUCCCGGUUCGGGGUACGGUUAGGGUUAGGGUUAGGUCCCAGGAGGCUCCAGGCGCCGAACCCACAGCAGGGCAGUGGUGUCCCCGAAGGGCUGAGUUGAGGGCACAAGGGACGGUGCCUGUCAGCAUCCGUCUUUGCCUGCCAAGGCUCUACACGUCGAUUGGCCCCUGUUGGAGGAGGCCUCCUGAAUCCCCUCGGGCAACUGCAACCGGUCUUGGGAAACGACAUGGUGAGCUUCCAGAUUCAAUGCUGAGUCAGCCUGCACCACUUCUGCACCCCAGGCGCCUGGUGUUCUCAGACGUUAGAAUUGGGUCCCCAUGGGAGGGAGCCUUAGCUAGGGUUAGGGUUCGGUCCAGGGACGUCGCCCGGGCCGAAGCGACUCUGGUCUCGUGAUCUCCCUUGAGUGCUGAAGUGAGGGCCCAUGCGACAUUUCGGCUCAUGUGAAGGGUUAGGGUUCGAUGUAGGCUUAGGUUUCGGUGGAGGGUCCCCGUUCGGUGUGGGGUUAGGGUUAGGGUUAUGUCCCAGGAGGCUACAGGCGCCCAACCCACAGCAGGGCAGUGGUCUCCCCGAAGGCCUGAGUUGAGGGCACAAGGGACCGUGCCGGUCAGGAUCCGUCUUUGGCUGCCAAGGCCACAGACGUCGAUCGGCCCCUGUUCGACGAGGCCUCCGGAAUCCUCUCGGUCAGCUGCAGACGGGGCUGGGAAACCACAUGGUGAGCUUGCAGCUUCCAUGCCGAGUCAGCCUGCAUCGCCUCUGGACCCCAGGCGCGUGGUCUUGUCAGACUUUGGCAUGGGGUCCCCAUGGGCAGGGAGCCUUAGCUAGGGUUAGGGUUUGGUCCAGGGACGUCGCCAGGGCCGAAUCGACUCCGGCCUCGUGAUCUCCCUCGAGGGCUGAAGUGAGGGCCCAUGCCAGAAGGCGGCUCCAUUGCAGGGUUAGGGUUCGAGGCAGGCUUAGGUUGCGGUGGAGGGUCCCGGUUCGGGGUCCGGUUAGGGUUAGGGUUAGGUCCCAGGAGGCUCCAGGCGCCCAACCCACAGCAGGGCAGUGGUCUCCCCGAAGGCCUGAGUUGAGGGCACAGGGGAGGCUGCCGGUCAGGAUCCGUCUUUGGCUGCCAAGGCCACACACGUGAUUGGGCCGGCGGUCGAGGAGGCCUCCGGAAUCCUCUCGGCAGCUGCAGCCGGGCCCGGGAAACCCCAUGGUGAGCUUCCAGGUUCCAUGCCGAGUCAGCCUGCACCUCUUCCGGACCCCAGGCGCGUGGUGUUGUCCCACGUUGGCAUUGGGUCCUCUUGGGGAGAGAGCCUUAGCUAGGGUUAGGGUUCGGUCCAGGGACGUCGCC
Molecule: long non-coding RNA, 1889 nt
Organism: Panthera uncia (snow leopard)
Lineage: Eukaryota; Metazoa; Chordata; Mammalia; Carnivora; Felidae
Exons: 5
Source: RefSeq, a predicted model, not a curated record